Molecule: ribosomal RNA, 778 nt
Filed under: Polycauliona candelaria
Lineage: Eukaryota; Fungi; Ascomycota; Lecanoromycetes; Teloschistales; Teloschistaceae
Description: mitochondrial SSU rRNA
Rfam family: Bacterial small subunit ribosomal RNA
Source: RNAcentral
AUAGCCUAACGGCUGAACCAGCAACUUGCAAGAAUGUAUAGCAAUAGCUAUUUGCACUAAAAAUGUUUAGUGUGAAAUCGACUAUGUCGAAUAAAAUUCUGGGUAGAAUUAUGAUAAUGACAUUAGCUAUUCAUAAGUCUUGACCAAAUUACGUGCCAGCAGUCGCGGCAAUACGUAGAAGCCAAGUGUUAUUCAUCUUUAAUAGGUUUAAAGGGUACUUAGACGGUAAAUAAAGCCUUUAAAGGGUACUAGUUUGCUAGAGUUUUAUAUGAAGGGGUUUUAAAGUACUGCUGGUGUAGAGAUGAAAUUCAGUUAUACCUUACAUGGCACAGGUUAAGGCGAAGGCAUCUUCUUAUGUAAAAACUGACGUUGAAGGACGAAGGCUUUGUGUCUCGAACAGGAUUAGAUACCCUAGUAGUCUAAGCAGAAAAUGAUGAAUGUCAUAGAUUAGAUGUAAUUUGAUCUAUAAAUGAAAGUGUAAGCAUUCCACCUCAAGAGUAAUUUGGCAACAUUGGAACUGAAAUCAUUAGACCGUUUCUGAAACCAGUAGUGAUGUAUGUUGUUUAAUUUGAUAAUCCGCAAAAAACCUUACCACAACUUGAAUAGAUAUAUUUUAUCAUACAAGCGCUGCACGGCUGUCUUUAGUUAAUGUCGUGAGACUUUGGUUAGUUCCAUUAAAUUAACGUAAACCCUUACUUUAUUUUUAUAUAAAGUAGUUCACCGCUAUAUUGGAUGUGAUAACAGGGAUCAAGACAAGUCAUCAUGGCCUAAAUAUUGU